GGACUACAGGGGUAUCUAAUCCUGUUUGCUCCCCACGCUUUCGCACCUCAGCGUCAAUAUUGGCCCAGGUCGCCGCCUUCGCCACUGGUGUUCCUCCCGAUAUCUACGAAUUUCACCUCUACACCGGGAAUUCCGCGACCCUCUUCCAUAUUCAAGCCUGCCAGUUUCGAAUGCACUUCCCGGGUUGAGCCCGGGGCUUUCACAUCCGACUUAACAGGCCGCCUACGUGCGCUUUACGCCCAAUGAUUCCGAGCAACGUUUGCACCCUCCGUAUUACCGCGGCUGCUGGCAC
This 292-nucleotide ribosomal RNA is filed under the name uncultured bacterium. RNAcentral describes it as "partial 16S ribosomal RNA". The record is from RNAcentral.